UACGAAGGGGGCUAGCGUUGCUCGGAAUUACUGGGCGUAAAGCGCACGUAGGCGGCUUUCUAAGUCGGGGGUGAAAUCCUGGAGCUCAACUCCAGAACUGCCUUCGAUACUGGAAAGCUCGAGUCCGGGAGAGGUGAGUGGAACUGCGAGUGUAGAGGUGAAAUUUCGUAGAUAUUUCGCAAGAACACCAGUGGCGAAGGCGGAUCUCUGGGCCAUUCUGACGCUGAGGAGCGAAAAGCGUGGGGGAGCGAACAGG
This 256-nucleotide ribosomal RNA is filed under the name uncultured bacterium. RNAcentral's name for it is "partial 16S ribosomal RNA". It matches the Rfam family "Bacterial small subunit ribosomal RNA", at positions 524 to 776 of the family's 1533-position model. The record is from RNAcentral.